This 484-nucleotide ribosomal RNA is filed under the name uncultured bacterium. Its description in RNAcentral is "partial 16S ribosomal RNA". It matches the Rfam family "Bacterial small subunit ribosomal RNA", at positions 30 to 507 of the family's 1533-position model. The record is from RNAcentral.
AUUGAACGCUGGCGGCAGGCCUAACACAUGCAAGUCGAGCGGAUGAAGGGAGCUUGCUCCUGGACUCAGCGGCGGACGGGUGAGUAAUGCCUAGGAAUCUGCCUGGUAGUGGGGGAUAACGUCCGGAAACGGGCGCUAAUACCGCAUACGUCCUGAGGGAGAAAGUGGGGGAUCUUCGGACCUCACGCUAUCAGAUGAGCCUAGGUUGGAUUAGCUAGUUGGUGGGGUAAAGGCCUACCAAGGCGACGAUCCGUAACUGGUCUGAGAGGAUGAUCAGUCACACUGGAACUGAGACACGGUCCAGACUCCUACGGGAGGCAGCAGUGGGGAAUAUUGGACAAUGGGCGAAAGCCUGAUCCAGCCAUGCCGCGUGUGUGAAGAAGGUCUUCGGAUUGUAAAGCACUUUAAGUUGGGAGGAAGAGCAGUAAGUUAAUACCUUGCUGUUUUGACGUUACCAACAGAAUAAGCACCGGCUAACUUCGUG